RNAcentral lists this unclassified non-coding RNA (3222 nucleotides) under Homo sapiens (human). RNAcentral's name for it is "E74-like ETS transcription factor 3 transcript variant 15". Lineage: Eukaryota; Metazoa; Chordata; Mammalia; Primates; Hominidae. The record is from RNAcentral.
AGAUACCUCAGCGCUACCUGGCGGAACUGGAUUUCUCUCCCGCCUGCCGGCCUGCCUGCCACAGCCGGACUCCGCCACUCCGGUAGCCUCAUGGCUGCAACCUGUGAGAUUAGCAACAUUUUUAGCAACUACUUCAGUGCGAUGUACAGCUCGGAGGACUCCACCCUGGCCUCUGUUCCCCCUGCUGCCACCUUUGGGGCCGAUGACUUGGUACUGACCCUGAGCAACCCCCAGAUGUCAUUGGAGGGUACAGAGAAGGCCAGCUGGUUGGGGGAACAGCCCCAGUUCUGGUCGAAGACGCAGGUUCUGGACUGGAUCAGCUACCAAGUGGAGAAGAACAAGUACGACGCAAGCGCCAUUGACUUCUCACGAUGUGACAUGGAUGGCGCCACCCUCUGCAAUUGUGCCCUUGAGGAGCUGCGUCUGGUCUUUGGGCCUCUGGGGGACCAACUCCAUGCCCAGCUGCGAGACCUCACUUCCAGCUCUUCUGAUGAGCUCAGUUGGAUCAUUGAGCUGCUGGAGAAGGAUGGCAUGGCCUUCCAGGAGGCCCUAGACCCAGGGCCCUUUGACCAGGGCAGCCCCUUUGCCCAGGAGCUGCUGGACGACGGUCAGCAAGCCAGCCCCUACCACCCCGGCAGCUGUGGCGCAGGAGCCCCCUCCCCUGGCAGCUCUGACGUCUCCACCGCAGGGACUGGUGCUUCUCGGAGCUCCCACUCCUCAGACUCCGGUGGAAGUGACGUGGACCUGGAUCCCACUGAUGGCAAGCUCUUCCCCAGCGAUGGUUUUCGUGACUGCAAGAAGGGGGAUCCCAAGCACGGGAAGCGGAAACGAGGCCGGCCCCGAAAGCUGAGCAAAGAGUACUGGGACUGUCUCGAGGGCAAGAAGAGCAAGCACGAGCCUGGCUUGGUGGUCCUGGAGAGGAGGAGGAAAUAAGGCUCCCAGUGGGAGGCUCAUGGUACCAGAGUCCUGUCCACUGACUCCAGUGUCCUGUCCACUGACUCCAGUUCUCUCUGCACUUGGCCACUGUCCUGCCCUCUGGGACACCCUCAAUCGCCCAGAGGCACCCACCUGUGGGAGUUCAUCCGGGACAUCCUCAUCCACCCGGAGCUCAACGAGGGCCUCAUGAAGUGGGAGAAUCGGCAUGAAGGCGUCUUCAAGUUCCUGCGCUCCGAGGCUGUGGCCCAACUAUGGGGCCAAAAGAAAAAGAACAGCAACAUGACCUACGAGAAGCUGAGCCGGGCCAUGAGGUACUACUACAAACGGGAGAUCCUGGAACGGGUGGAUGGCCGGCGACUCGUCUACAAGUUUGGCAAAAACUCAAGCGGCUGGAAGGAGGAAGAGGUUCUCCAGAGUCGGAACUGAGGGUUGGAACUAUACCCGGGACCAAACUCACGGACCACUCGAGGCCUGCAAACCUUCCUGGGAGGACAGGCAGGCCAGAUGGCCCCUCCACUGGGGAAUGCUCCCAGCUGUGCUGUGGAGAGAAGCUGAUGUUUUGGUGUAUUGUCAGCCAUCGUCCUGGGACUCGGAGACUAUGGCCUCGCCUCCCCACCCUCCUCUUGGAAUUACAAGCCCUGGGGUUUGAAGCUGACUUUAUAGCUGCAAGUGUAUCUCCUUUUAUCUGGUGCCUCCUCAAACCCAGUCUCAGACACUAAAUGCAGACAACACCUUCCUCCUGCAGACACCUGGACUGAGCCAAGGAGGCCUGGGGAGGCCCUAGGGGAGCACCGUGAUGGAGAGGACAGAGCAGGGGCUCCAGCACCUUCUUUCUGGACUGGCGUUCACCUCCCUGCUCAGUGCUUGGGCUCCACGGGCAGGGGUCAGAGCACUCCCUAAUUUAUGUGCUAUAUAAAUAUGUCAGAUGUACAUAGAGAUCUAUUUUUUCUAAAACAUUCCCCUCCCCACUCCUCUCCCACAGAGUGCUGGACUGUUCCAGGCCCUCCAGUGGGCUGAUGCUGGGACCCUUAGGAUGGGGCUCCCAGCUCCUUUCUCCUGUGAAUGGAGGCAGAGACCUCCAAUAAAGUGCCUUCUGGGCUUUUUCUAACCUUUGUCUUAGCUACCUGUGUACUGAAAUUUGGGCCUUUGGAUCGAAUAUGGUCAAGAGGUUGGAGGGGAGGAAAAUGAAGGUCUACCAGGCUGAGGGUGAGGGCAAAGGCUGACGAAGAGGGGAGUUACAGAUUUCCUGUAGCAGGUGUGGGCUUACAGACACAUGGACUGGGCUGGGAGGCGAGCAAAGGAAGCAGCUGAGACUGUUGGAGAACGCUUACAAGACUUCAUGCAAGCAAGGACAUGAACUCAGAACACUGAGGUCAGAAGCAUCCUGCUGUCAUGACACCGCUCGAGUGACCUUGACCUUGACCAAGUCUGUCCUGUUUAGGACUGAUUUUUCCUAUUAGGCUAGGGUUUGGACCUGAUGUUCUCAAGAUGUCUAGAAUUGCAUGGCUGGCCUUGUGGAAUAGAUGGUUUUGCAUUCCAGCCAAGUGUGCUGUAAACUGUAUAUCUGUAAUAUGAAUCCCAGCUUUUGAGUCUGACAAAAUCAGAGUUAGGAUCUUGUAAAGGAAAAAAAAAAAAAAACAAAACAAAAUGGAGAUGAGUACUUGCUGAGAAAGAAUGAGGGAAGGAGUUGGCAUUUGUUGAAAGUGUAGUCUUUUUCUCUUUUUUUUUUAAUUGCAACUUUUACUUUAGAUUUAGGAGGUCGUGCGCAGGUUUGUUACAUGGGUAUAUUGUGUGAUGCUGAGCUUGGGAUGCGAAUGAUCCUGUCACCCAGGUAGUGAGUAUAGCACCCAGUGAAACUGUAGUCUCAUGCCAGGCACUGUGCUAGCCCACUCUGGCUCAUUUAAUCCUCUCCUAAGAAGAGAGGAGACACAGCGUCCCCAUUUGACAGAUGCAGAAAGAGGUUCCACAGGUGUGCCUUGAUUCUGUCCUAAAACCGUUUCCCGGAAGCUUUUCCUGGUGUGGGCGCUUCUAACCUAAUCCUCAAUCGAUUCCAGAACUAUUACUCUGUUUCCACAGUGAUACUGUGUCUAGGUUUUAGGGAGGACAGUUCAUUGAUGUUACUUAAGAAUGCUUUCCAGGUGGAAAGUUCCUUAAGUUUGAGGCUUCAAAUUCCAUACAGCACAUUAAAAUCCCAUUCAUGAGUUUGAAAUACUGCUCUGUUGUCUUGGAAAUACCAAUCAGAUUGUUGGCUGAAGUGAUGUGGAUAAAGAAGGGAUCUUAGAAAAA